Triticum urartu is the source of this 125-nucleotide non-coding RNA. The record is from Rfam. Lineage: Eukaryota; Viridiplantae; Streptophyta; Magnoliopsida; Poales; Poaceae.
GAUGUACUUCCUCUGUCCGGAAAUACUUGUCGUAAAAAUGGAUACAAAUGGAUGUAUCUAGAACUAAAAUACAUAUAGGUACAUCCAUUCUUCGGACAAAUAUUUCCGGACGGAGGGAGUAUGUA